UGCAAUUUGUCAUGUUGAUGA
This 21-nucleotide non-coding RNA is filed under the name Caenorhabditis elegans. The record is from RNAcentral. Lineage: Eukaryota; Metazoa; Nematoda; Chromadorea; Rhabditida; Rhabditidae.